ACAUGCAAGUCGAACGCGAAAGGGGGCAACCCCCGGUAGCGUGGCAGACGGGUGAGUAACACGUGGGUAACCUACCCCGAGGUGGGGGAUAACCCUCCGAAAGGAGGGCUAAUACCGCAUGACACCUGGAGGUCCGCGGAUCUCCAAAUCAAAGCUAGCCUCUGCUUGCAAGCUAGCGCCACGGGAGGGGCCCGCGCCCCAUUAGCUAGUUGGUGAGGUAACGGCUCACCAAGGCGACGAUGGGUAGCCGGCCUGAGAGGGCGAUCGGCCACACUGGAACUGAGACACGGUCCAGACUCCUACGGGAGGCAGCAGUGAGGAAUAUUGCGCAAUGGGCGAAAGCCUGACGCAGCGACGCCGCGUGGAGGACGAAGGUCUUCGGAUCGUAAACUCCUGUCGAGCGGGACGAAGCCGGAACGGUGAACAGCCGCUUCGGUUGACGGUACCGCUUAAGGAAGCCCCGGCUAACUCCGUGCCAGCAGCCGCGGUAAUACGGAGGGGGCCAGCGUUGUUCGGA
RNAcentral lists this ribosomal RNA (517 nucleotides) under uncultured soil bacterium. RNAcentral's name for it is "bacterial SSU rRNA". It matches the Rfam family "Bacterial small subunit ribosomal RNA", at positions 53 to 549 of the family's 1533-position model. The record is from RNAcentral.